UUUUGCUAAUGAGAUUUGAUUAUCUUUGAGUUCAUAUUUCUUCUUCUAUAAUCUGGUCUUGGGCUAGUGUGGAAUUUGCACUACUUGAGAAUCAAUUUUCUGGAACUUGGAACUUGGAACUUGGAACCUUUUUUUUUUUUUUUUUUUGGAACUUGGAACUUGGAACUUUCAGUUUUUAUACUUGUAUGCCAUUAAAAAAAAAGCAAUGGAAUAAGAAGAAUCAUUACUUAUUUCAUUAAAAAAAAGAGAGAAAAAAAAACCAGUAUUUUAACAAGCACGUUGUUUUUGUCAUAAAAAAUAAAAAAAAAAUAUUAGUGUUUUACAUUAUUACAUGUGGAGAACCGAGGAUAAGUCCAACCAGAUCCAGAUAUUGUCUCAUACACAUUAAUUCUAGACUCUCAAACUCUUCCUGGGGGUUUUGGAUCGUGCUCUGGAUUUGCUCCCACCCCUGAAUAGUCUGCGGUUUCCAAAUCCAUCCGUCCCUCAAUAAACCCUUCUCCCAAACCAACAACACCUUCCUCCACCAAACUCUGAAAAGCAGAGACUCCUCAACUUAAUUUCUGCAUGAAAAUUGGUUUAUGCAUAAACCCAACAAAAUUACAGACAGAGAGAUCAUUACCUGACCCAGUAGAGCUUCUUUAUUUAUCUUCAGGCUUCCUAUAAUAUUACAGAAAAGAAAAAUACAAAAAAAAAAAAAAAAAAGGGUUGAUCAUUAUUGAUCCCUUUGUUAAAAUAAACACAAAUAAAUAAACAUUUAUGAAAGCUUACUAGUGGUAGAAGCUGCAGCAGCAGAUGAGGAGAAGAGGACAUGUGUUAAGCUCAAAAAAAGAACUAGUUUAAUCAUGGAAGACUUGUAGGGCAGCAUGCUGAUGAAGAAGCACUAGAACUUGAUGAUGGAGAUCUAAAAGGCAGCAGGAAGAAAUAGAAGAGAAUGGGAGGAGAGAGUGGUGAGUGGUGGGUGAUGAUGAAGGCAAUAGGAAACAUGUGGGGAUGGCUUUUUAUACAGAUAAGAAGACAAGUUGAAAAUGCAAUAAGACAAAGAGGGUAGCCAAUAGAAAUAUUGCUUCUCUAAAGUCAACUUACUUAACUAAUUAAUUUCUUCGGGUGUGCGUUAGGUUUUCUUCCAUAUUUAUAUUUCCAUCCCUCUGUGUCUAUCUCUCUCUCUUUUUUUCUUCUCUUUUUUAUUGCCAGCACAAAUAUCUGCCAAGAUAUUAUGCAAGGAACAGAAUGCACAAGCCGAACCCAAAUUUGCUUAAGAUCUUGC
This 1264-nucleotide long non-coding RNA is filed under the name Prunus persica (peach). Its description in RNAcentral is "long non-coding RNA (PPER_LNC006858)". Lineage: Eukaryota; Viridiplantae; Streptophyta; Magnoliopsida; Rosales; Rosaceae. The record is from RNAcentral.